UCUGCUGGACACUCGGACACUCCCUGCUGUGGCCUUGGCCACGGCCUCCUGUGUGACGCUUCGCUUCCCAGCCUCUCAGAGGCACAUGGGGUGCUGGGCCUGUGAGCUCCCAGACCCCUCACUGAGCGCAGCUCUCAGGAAGGCCUGACCCCGGAGGCUGUGGGCCCCAGACCCCAGUGCGUUGCCAGUGUGUGCUCUGGUGGGAGCCCAGCGCGGGGCCAGGGAGAAGCCGGCCUCUCCGUCCCUGUCGCUGCCUCCAGCGGCCUCUCCUGUCGCGGUCGCUUCUCUCUGCAGCUGGAGCUUUGGCAGCGUGACCCUGGGCCUUGGGCCCCGGUAACCCCCUCCCCUCUGUCUCUCCAGCCUGGGGUAGAAGCAGCCUGUGGCCAGCACCACAACAGGGUCCCGGGUGCUCCGUGUCCUGUGCGUGCUGAUGGCUUCCACUGCAAGUCCCCGGAUGCCGCCUGGAGGCUCUGUCUGGCCACAGGUGCCGGACAUGCUGGGAGGUUGACGGGAGCCCCUUGUCAAUGAGGACGCAGUUGGAGAUGCGUGGCCAGCGUCCCCGCGCCCCGGUGGGCCGCCCUGAGCAUGAAGCUACACGAAAGCCGGGCAAGUCCAAACAACUGCAGACGGGCGGGGGAGGCUGCCGGACAAACACCGGGAGGGGGCAGCGUGACCUGAAGCUCCUGGUUUCCGGGCCCCCUCCACGCCGCACGGAGUUACUGCAGGCCCACAGCAAGCACACAGGAAAGCCACGCAGACGGGAUCGCGUGUCAACUGACCUCUAGCUGCCUGAGCUCAGGGACUGGAAGAAGUCUGCUCAUUUCUGAAUGAACCUUCAGUGUCACGCUGUCGCGAUUGGCCAUCCCCAGCCGAAGAACCAAACGGAUGUGAAUUCCUUGCUCUCCGCGCUCUCUUCCCUGGGCUCAGGGACCGAGCAGACUUAGGCAGCACAGGGUUGGUUCCCCGUCCCUCCGCAUCUGUGUGCGUCCGUGUGGGCCAGGACGUGUCACACGGAGAUUCCAGCUGCGGCUCCUUCUGUCCCGGCCACAGUCCUGAGUGUGACAGUCACACCGGUGUCACUGUCACAGGGCUGUGGCCAGGCAGGAAUAUGCAGAGAUUUUGCCUUGAAUUCUGGUCUGGCCCUUGAUUCUCUUUACGUGACUUUUCUCUCCUGUAAAUUUGUAAACAUUGUAUCUGGAUUUUAGGAUUCUUGUGAAUAAAAAUAAAGUAUGUUAGU
Long non-coding RNA from Hipposideros armiger (great roundleaf bat), 1237 nucleotides. RefSeq lists it as uncharacterized. The transcript is spliced from 3 exons. The record is from RefSeq and is a predicted model, not a curated record. NCBI's taxonomy places the organism in Eukaryota, Metazoa, Chordata, Mammalia, Chiroptera, Hipposideridae.